This 1539-nucleotide ribosomal RNA is filed under the name Shewanella putrefaciens. RNAcentral's name for it is "16S ribosomal RNA". Lineage: Bacteria; Pseudomonadati; Pseudomonadota; Gammaproteobacteria; Alteromonadales; Shewanellaceae. The record is from RNAcentral.
GAUUCGCUGGCAUAUUAGCACUGGCGUAUUAGCAGGGCUCUUUAUCGCUUCGAGUGUCGGUUUUUUACUGUCACCCGAUACUCAAGGCAGCCCAUUAUUCCAUCUAUUUUCUGGCGCGACCAUGUUAGCGGCAUUUUUUAUUGCGACGGAUCCUGUCACCGCCGCAACGAGUCCCCGUGGUCGAAUUAUCUUCGGGACGUUAAUAGGUAUAUUGGUCUAUAUCAUUCGCACUCAAGGUGGCUACCCUGAUGCUUUCGCCUUUGCCGUAUUACUGGCAAACCUUUGUGCUCCCUUUAUUGACUAUUACGUUCGUCCACGUAGCUAUGGUCAUUCAGCGGGCUAGGCCUUUGUGUUAAGCAUCAAGUGAUGCUUGAAGAAAGACUCUUGAGGAAAGAAAUUGAAUAAUCCAAUGAUUAAAAAUGGACUGUUACUCGCUCUGUUUGCCCUGCUCUGCACUGGCUUAGUCGCAGUGGUUAAUGAACAGACCUUAGAUAAAAUUAAAGAGCAAGAACAGCAAGAAUUGAUGAAAGUGUUACAUCAAUUGAUCCCAGAUGACAUCCAUGACAAUGAGCUCACUGCACAAUGUACUUUGCUGCAGGAUAGAGCGGCGUUAGGCACUGAAAAUCCAAUGCCUGCCUAUAUUGCAACCAAUGCGGGUCAACCAGUUGCAAUUGCGCUGGAGGCCAUCGCUCCCGAUGGUUAUAACGGUAAUAUUAAACUGAUUGUGGGGAUAAACACCCAAGGUGAAGUCCUUGGUGUUCGCACCCUAUCACACCAAGAAACGCCAGGACUUGGUGAUAAAAUCGAUCUGCGUAAAUCCGAUUGGGUGAUGCAAUUUGUGGGUAAACGCCUGAACGCUGAGGAUGACAAACAAUGGCUGGUGAAAAAAGAUGGCGGGGAUUUCGAUCAAUUUACCGGCGCCACCAUCACACCACGCGCCUAUGUUAACGCGGUUAAGCGUGCAGUAUGGUACUUUAACAAUAACCAAGCACAAAUUUUCAGUCAGCCACUGAAUUGUGAGAUAAAACAUGACUAAUUAUCGCGAAAUUGCUUGGCAAGGUCUGUGGAAAAAUAACCCCGGCUUAGUACAACUAUUAGGCCUAUGCCCGCUCCUUGCUGUCACAGCAACCAUAACCAAUGCCCUAGGGCUAGGUGUAGCCACUAUGUUAGUGCUAAUAGGCUCUAAUAUUCUUGUGUCACUUGUACGCGACUAUGUGCCUAAAGAAAUCCGUAUUCCCGUAUUUGUGAUGAUCAUCGCCGCGCUAGUCACCACAGUUCAGUUGCUCAUCAAUGCCUAUGCCUAUGGUCUGUAUUUAUCCCUUGGGAUCUUCCUGCCGCUAAUUGUAACGAACUGCAUCAUCAUUGGCCGCGCCGAGGCAUUUGCCUCACGUAACAAUGCCUUUAGCGCCGCCUUCGAUGGUUUAAUGAUGGGGCUAGGGUUUACCUUAGUGCUCGCCGUUCUUGGGGCAACACGGGAAUUAUUAGGUCAAGGCACACUAUUUGAUGGCGCCGAUCAAUUGCUAGGCCCUUGGGCUAAAU